UAUGAGAAAGAAGAGCAACAGUAAACCCUUUUUCUCCCUCCCCUCAUCUCCCCUACCCUCCUCUCUGCGAUUACCCGACAGUCAAUCGAAGAAAGCGGCAUCGGGCGUCCGCGUCAUUCUCAGACGAUGGCUAUAUUACUGGGCGAUGACGGUAAGGGCUACGAUCUUGCUCGGAGGCUGGAGAGCUGCGGCGCAUGGCGUGCUUGGCUGGGCGACGCAGCCUAUGCUGCUUUUUCUCACUCUCUCUCUUCUGCUGCGGCCUGGGAUGCCUUCUUGACUCCUUCUCCUUCUGGAACACGUGCUCAGCUUCAGCUACAACUCCGUGCACGCGCUCUCCUGUUUGAUAAAGCCUCUGCCUCGCUCUACCUCAGGCCGUCCACGGCCGUCGCGGGGACGCAGAUCUCCAAUCUCAAUCCUUCCUAUUUUCAGGUUCAUGAAGAUGAGAUUUAUUACUCUUUGGAAGAUGAACAACAUGAUGGAUUUCAACCCCAAACUCCUUCGAGGCCAGUGUACAGCCCUCACAGAGCAAGUCAACAUUCUUUUGAACGAGCAUCUAGUGUUGGAUCCAGAUACAAUGAUCCUGAACAUGUAAAUACCUCUAAAUAUGAAGAUUUGCCUAAUAAAUGCUAUAACCAAUAUGUUGAAAGAUACAGAAUAAAGCAUCAGAAGUUGCCACAUGGUGACAAAGAGUCACACAAUAGAACAUCUGAGGGAAUGUCUGUAUACUUCAAACUUCGUGAUUUACAUAAGAGAAAGAGGCAAAUUUUUAAGGACAAUCCUUUAGCUACUUUGGACACUGGAUCUUCCUUGCAUUUGAAAGGUAUUUCAGAGGGGAAUAACGCAAGUGAAGACGAUAUUUCAUUCUUUCCUGAGAUCAUGUUUCCAGCUAAUUGUGUGCCUGAAAGUGCUCUCCCAGUGGUAAUCACAGAAAAGAAAGAAAAGGUUGAAGUUUACGGGGUACUUGAUAAUUUACCCACACUUACAAGCCCAAGUCCAGCGAUGAUGGAAAGAUUUGGCAUAAGGCCAGAGUAUGUUAAGAUGGGAAACAAAUAUAGGGGAAAGGAUGGAUCUGGAGGGGAUAGAAGAUCUCUUAGUCAGGAACAAGCAUCCCAAAUAGCUCACAAGGCAGCAGCUCGUUUGCUAAUAAGCGUAGGGUUUGAAGGUGGAACUGAAAUUUCAAUGAAAGUCUUCUCUGAAUUUUUUAGUAGCCAUAUCAGUAAAUUAGGACGCAACUUAAAGCUUCUAACUGAUAGCUACAAAAAGCAAGUUUCAUCAAUAGAACUUCUCAAAAUGUUUCUGCAAAUCUCAGGUCAUGGAAAUCUUGGGGCCUUGACAGAAAUUACUAAGAAUGGUAACAAGGCUGGCUUCACUCAACAGACACAGCAAACUGUUCGUCAACUCCAGACACCUCAACAAAACCCUCUCCUACAAGCUCAACAACUUCAAAGGCAAAUGCAUUCCCAAAUGAAUAUGCUUCACCCACAAAAUAUAGCAUUUCAACAACAACAACAACAACAACAACAAUGGGAUAAAUUGAGGCGUCAGCAAGUAUCCACGCCUCGUUCCAUGAUGAUUAUGGACAAAGAUCAGCCUAUGGCAGAUGUCAAAAUUGAGAACAUAAUGGAAGGACCUAUCGAUACAAACACUUUCAAUGCUCUCAGUAAACAACAGAUGCAAUUGAGGCAACAGCAGAUGGCUAUGGCAAAUCACCCUACACAAUCUGGACAACAUUUCAAACAACUUCAGUCCAUUCAGAUUCCUCAACUUCAAGCACAGUUGGCUCAGAAUGCAUUUAAUAUGAGAACUGCUCCAGUUAAAGUAGAAGCUUUCCAUGAACUGAUGGGUGGGGAUUCAACACUGAAGCAAGAACCAGAUCAGAAUAAACUCACCUCUCCAGCAAAGUAAGGUGGUUGAAGCAUGAUUUAUUAGUCAGCAGAAUCAAUACUUUCUUUUAUGUAAAUUAUGCAUUCAGGUGAUUAAGGUAGACACGAUGAAGAGUCUAUUGUUUCAUCACCCUGGUCGUAUCAACAAGGCCAAGUCCACCAACAUCAGAGGGCAAUAAGCCACAAUAUGAUCCGAAGGCCGCUGCUAUCGAUCAAACUGGAUAUGCUGUUUCCGAGAUAGAUAGCUGAUGAUUUCUUGCAAUCUGAUGUUAUUUUGGGGGAGAAGAAGAUAGAGGUGAGUUUAUUUGCUUUCCUUUCCUUUUUAAUUGUUUCGUCAUCUGAGCUGUAGUUAUCUUGCCUUUAGAGUUUCCAUACUAGAUUGUUUCAUCAUCUGAGCUGCAGUUAUCUUAUCUUUAAUGUUUCCAUACAAGAUUGUUUGCUGUAUUUUUUUUAGCUUUGUUCUGGUUCAUGGAGGUUUCAUUGUCAGGGGUUUGUGAAGAGAUGAUAUGUGCGUUUUCACAGCUUAUGCAUAUUAUAGUUCUUGUUGGUGCUUCAUAUGUUGAAAAUAUUCGAAGGAGCCAUUCAUUCAUUUUCUUUUGUCUCUAGGUCUGAGUCACGCAUUUCUGAAUCAAUUAAACCAAUUUUAAAGUUGAACAGGCAUUUGAAAGGAAUCAUGCCAAUCUUCACGAAUAAAUUGGGAUCUGUGUUUUAAGUGCAUCUCAUAUUUGGCCAUCUAUGACCAUAUUAUAGUUGGAAAAAAAUAGUUUAUUGAUUUUACCAUGGGAUUUUAAGAUUAGAAUGAUAGAUUACAGCUAUUUGUAUCUCAUAGUUGAUUGCUGUACUUUAAUGUGGGAAAUACUUUCCGAUGAAAGCAAUUUUUACAUAAAAACUUGGUUUGAUUAUUUAUAAAAAUUGGAAAGAUUUCUUAUAUGAGCUGAUUAAUGAACAAAGUAAUAUUGUGUUCUAAUUUAUAAAAAUUGGAAAGAUUUCUUAUAACAGCUUUAAAUGAAGUAAAUUUCUUGAAUUCAUAAAUUCAAUUUAGUACACAGCUCAUCUUGGCCUGUUGGUUGAGAGCAUAGGCUUCCAACUAAGAGAUCUUGAGUUCGAGUCUUUGUGCAUGUGUUGUGUGUACGACUUUUGCUUAUAUAGUUAGAUAUGCUCACUUUUGAUUGCUUUUGGAACCAAACUACUAAUAAGCCUCCAGCCCAACACUUACGAUUAGCAUAUUGAAGGGCCGAAAGAGUAGUUUGGUGGAGUAGCAUAUUGAAGGGCCAGAUAUUUAUGGUGUCUUCCAGUUUAAGGUAGAGUAUCAGAAACUUGGUUACAUAAGCUAAAUUUGAUUAUGCUGAAUUUUUUGGCAAUUAAAUUUAUUUUAAAUUAGUAUAAUAUUCGAGCUUGCUAAUUCAGUAUGUAUUAUGUUUAUCUUAAAAUAUAUUUAAUGGCCGAAAAAUCUAUCGUGAUCAAAUUUAGGUCUUGUAUCCGAUCCUUUUAAAGUUUCAGUUUAAUAAAUUUUUCUUCAAUAAAACUUUGGCUUUCAGAUGAAUAUGAGAGAUCUAUCCCAGCUACCUGUCCCUACUACGGAGCCUCAGUAUACUUUCAACUCAAAUUGAUUGCACUUUUUGCCCAAGUGGAAAAUGUGUCAAAAGGUAGCUUUCCAAUAUAGCAUUAGAUGAAGAGCGGUUGAGCAGCUCUUAACUUGAGGAGCUCUUUUUAUUUUGUGUUGAAAAUGUUUCUCAAGGAACUUUCAAGAA
This is an RNA transcript of Dendrobium catenatum, 3634 nucleotides long. RefSeq lists it as uncharacterized. The record is from RefSeq and is a predicted model, not a curated record. NCBI's taxonomy places the organism in Eukaryota, Viridiplantae, Streptophyta, Magnoliopsida, Asparagales, Orchidaceae. The transcript is spliced from 9 exons.